This 757-nucleotide ribosomal RNA is filed under the name Latocephalus smithi. RNAcentral describes it as "partial large subunit ribosomal RNA". It matches the Rfam family "Eukaryotic large subunit ribosomal RNA", at positions 386 to 950 of the family's 3401-position model. Lineage: Eukaryota; Metazoa; Nematoda; Enoplea; Dorylaimida; Qudsianematidae. The record is from RNAcentral.
GAAGGGCGUGAACCGCUUAGAAUAAAACGGACGGAGCUGUCUAAGGCCUUUGGGAAUCAGUCGUGCGAUUUCGCGAAGGUAUUCUGGUUAGAGCGAAAAGUCUGACCAGGGUAUUAGUAGUAGCAAUCGUUUGGCGCACUUCCCGAGGGUGAGCACUGCGACCGAUAUGAAAGGCCAGCGAAGCGACUCGAUUGAGGUCGAGAUCCGCAAGGAACUCGCUACCAGUCUUUUCGCCUGAAUCGUUGGACCGCAGUAUAUAUCGAGUGCCAGUAAAAAUGCGUUGGCGAAAACGCUCAUCAAGUGGCGGAUAGUUAGCCAAUGAGUUGAUUCUUGCUCGCAAGGACUGAUUUAUUCGGUGGACUUUGAAGUUACUGGUGACAUUCCAGCGCAUAGGCGUCAGCGGUGUCAGUGUCAGCCACCCGUCCGACCCGUCUUGAAACACGGACCAAGGAGUCUAACAUAUGCGCGAGCUAAUGGGUGGAAAACCCAAAGGCGCAAUAAAAGUAAAGGUCAUUUCAGAAUGGCUAAGAUAUGAUCCUGAAGUCCGAGAGACUUCAGGCGCAAUAUCGUCCCGUCUCAACCGCAUAUCGGUAGGGCGGAGAUUGAGCGCAUAUGUUGGGACCCGAAAGAUGGUGAACUAUGCCUGAGUAGAGUGAAGCCAGAGGAAACUCUGGUGGAGGUUCGUAGCGGUUCUGACGUGCAAAUCGAUCGUCAAACUUGGGUAUAGGGGCGAAAGACUAAUCGAACCAUCUAGUAG